GUGCUCACUGUGGCAGCACAAAUACUAAAAUUGGAACGAUACAGAGAUUAGCAUGGCCACUGCACAAGGAUGACAUGCAAAUGCAUGAAGUGGUCAAUUUCUUU
This is a small nuclear RNA of Nomascus leucogenys (northern white-cheeked gibbon), 104 nucleotides long. The record is from Ensembl. NCBI's taxonomy places the organism in Eukaryota, Metazoa, Chordata, Mammalia, Primates, Hylobatidae.